RNA transcript from Nycticebus coucang (slow loris), 4572 nucleotides. It is a transcript of the gene named collagen type VI alpha 2 chain, with no coding region annotated. The record is from RefSeq and is a predicted model, not a curated record. Lineage: Eukaryota; Metazoa; Chordata; Mammalia; Primates; Lorisidae. The transcript has 29 exons.
GUGGCGGGCGGGGCUGGGGGUAUAAAGUGGGCGGCCCCUGUCGCGGUCCCCUCCCUCCGGCCCACUAGGCGCCCGUGUCUCGGGCCGUCAGGACUCCGAGCUCCUGCGACGUGUCCAGCGGGGACGCCCGACGCGCGCUCUCCGCGAUCGGGUCUCAGGGCACACGGUGCUGCCAAGAUGCUUGGGGGCCCCUGCUCCGUGCUUCUGCUCUGCGGGCUCCUGAGGGCCAUCCACGCCCAGCAGCAAGAAGUCGUCUCACCUGGUACCUCCGAGAGAAAUAACAACUGCCCAGAGAAGGCCGACUGCCCCGUCAACGUGUACUUCGUGCUGGACACCUCGGAGAGCGUCGCCAUGCAGCCCCCCACAGACAUCCUGCUGUCUCACAUGCAGCAGUUCGUGCCGCAGCUCAUCAGCCAGCUGCAGAACGAGCUGUACCUGGGCCAGGUGGCGCUGAGCUGGCGCUACGGUGGCCUGCACUUCUCCGACCAGGUGGAGGUGUUCAGCCCGCCGGGCAGCGACCGCGCGUCCUUCACGCGCAGCCUACAGGCCGUGCGUUCGUUCCGCCGCGGCACCUUCACCGACUGCGCUCUGGCUAACAUGACGCAGCAAGUGCGGCAGCUGGGCGGCCGCGGCGUGCACUUCGCCGUGGUCAUCACCGACGGCCACGUCACGGGCAGCCCGUGCGGUGGCAUUAAGCUGCAGGCUGAGCGCGCGCGCGAGGAGGGCGUGCGGCUCUUCGCCGUGGCCCCCAACCGCAACGUGAAGGAGCAGGGCCUGCGCGACAUCGCCAGCGCGCCGCUCGAGCUGUACCGCAACAGCUACGCCACCAUGCGGCCGGACUCGUUAGAGAUCGACGAGGACACGGUCGAGCGCAUCAUCCGGGUCAUGAAACACGAAGCCUAUGGGGAGUGCUACAAGGUGAGCUGCCUGGAGAUCCCCGGGCCCCCCGGCCCCAAGGGCUACCGUGGACAGAAGGGUGCCAAAGGCAACAUGGGUGAGCCAGGAGAGCCUGGUCAGAAGGGGAGACAGGGAGAUCCAGGCAUCGAAGGCCCCAUCGGAUUCCCAGGACCCAAGGGUGUUCCUGGCUUCAAAGGGGAGAAGGGUGAAUUUGGAGCAGAUGGUCGGAAGGGUGCACCCGGCCUGGCUGGCAAGAAUGGGACUGAUGGACAGAAGGGCAAACUGGGACGCAUCGGACCUCCUGGCUGCAAGGGAGACCCUGGAAGCAGGGGUCCCGACGGUUAUCCAGGGGAAGCAGGGAGCCCUGGGGAGCGAGGAGACCAAGGUGCCAAGGGGGACGCUGGCCGCCCAGGACGCAGAGGACCCCCAGGGGACAGUGGGGCCAAAGGCAGUAAGGGCUACCAAGGCAACAACGGAGCCCCCGGAAGCCCCGGCGUGAAAGGAACCAAGGGCGGGCCUGGGCCCCGUGGACCCAAGGGUGAACCUGGGCGCAGGGGAGAUCCCGGAGCCAAGGGCAGCCCUGGCAGUGAUGGAGCCAAGGGGGAGAAGGGGGACCCUGGCCCUGAGGGGCCCCGGGGCCUGGCUGGAGAAGUGGGGAGCAAAGGAGCCAAGGGAGACCGAGGCUUACCUGGACCCAGAGGCCCCCAGGGAGCUUUUGGGGAGCCCGGGAAGCAGGGAUCUCGGGGAGACCCUGGUGAUGCUGGGCCCCGUGGAGACUCGGGACAGCCUGGCCCCAAGGGAGACCCCGGUAGACCUGGAUUCAGCUACCCAGGACCCCGAGGAACACCUGGAGAAAAAGGCGAACCUGGCCCUCCUGGCCCCGAGGGAGGCCGAGGCGACUUUGGUAUGAAAGGAAGACCUGGGAAGAAAGGAGAGAAGGGAGAACCUGCUGAUCCUGGUCCACCUGGUGAGCCAGGCCUUCGGGGUCCAAGAGGAGUCCCAGGACCCGAGGGUGAGCCCGGCCCCCCUGGAGACCCUGGCCUCACGGAAUGUGACGUCAUGACCUAUGUGAGAGAGACCUGCGGGUGCUGUGACUGUGAGAAGCGUUGUGGUGCCCUGGACGUGGUCUUCGUCAUCGACAGCUCCGAGAGCAUUGGCUAUACCAAUUUUACCCUGGAGAAGAACUUCGUCAUCAAUGUGGUCAACAGGCUAGGGGCUAUUGCCAAGGACCCCAAAUCAGAAACAGGGACACGGGUAGGCGUGGUACAGUACAGCCAUGAGGGCACUUUCGAGGCCAUCCAGCUGGAUGAUGAGCGCAUCGACUCCUUGUCCAGCUUCAAGGAGGCUGUCAAGAACCUCGAGUGGAUUGCGGGCGGCACCUGGACACCCUCUGCCCUCAAGUUUGCCUACGACCGACUCAUCAAGGAAAGCCGGCGCCAGAAGACACGCGUGUUCGCAGUGGUCAUCACAGAUGGGCGCCAUGACCCACGUGACGAUGACCUCAACCUGCGGGCGCUGUGCGACCGUGAUGUCACAGUUACAGCCAUCGGCAUUGGUGACAUGUUCCACGAGAAGCAUGAGAGUGAGAACCUCUACUCCAUUGCCUGCGACAAGCCACAGCAGGUGCGCAACAUGACACUCUUUUCCGAUCUGGUGGCUGAGAAGUUCAUUGAUGACAUGGAAGAUGUCCUCUGCCCAGACCCUCAGAUCGUGUGUCCAGAUCUUCCCUGCCAAACAGAUGGACAGUGGCCUGGUGGCGAGCCCCCGGUCACCUUCCUUCGCACAGAAGAGGUACCGGACAACGCCUUCCCCAGGACCAUCCCCCUGAUCCAACAGUUGCUAAACGCCACGGAGUUCACACAGGACCCAGCUGCCUACUCGCAGCUGGUGGCCGUACUGGUCUACACUGCUGAGCGGGCCAAGUUCGCCACAGGGGUGGAGCGGCAAGACUGGAUGGACCUGUUCAUUGACACCUUCAAGUUGGUGCACAGGGACAUUGUGGGUGACCCCGAGACCGCACUGGCACUCUGCUGAAGCCAUGCGCUGCCCACACAGCCAGAGCUGGGCCCUCUCCCGGCCGUGUAGCUUCCCAGGGCUGCCUACCAGGACCGGAGCUAUAGGACAGUGGGCAUUUUCUCUCUCAGUCUGGAGGCAGAAGUCCAACGCCAUGGAGCCCGCGGGGCCACAGUCCCUUCCAAGGCUCUGGGGUGGGGGGGUCCUCCCUGCCUCUUCCAGCUCCUGGGGGCUGCCAUGAUCCUUGGCUGGUGGCCAUAUCUCCCGUCUGCCUCCGUCUCAACAUGUCCUCCUAUUUCGUUAAGAUUGCUAGUUAUUGAAAAUGAGGCCUGCCCUAAAUCCAGGACAAUCACAUCCCAAGAUCCCUAAUUUUAUCCUGUUUUCAGAGUCCUUCUUCGCCAUGUAAGUUCACAUCACAGGUUUCAGGAAUUAGGAAUUCAGCUGCUCACAACACCACCCAUCCAUCUGAGUUGGGUUGGGGGCUAAGUGGGGAGAAGUGCAGCCCUGGUGCUUGGAGACUUUGCCCCUGCCCACUUCAGCAUGAGCCUGAGAAACAAACCUCAGAGACUGGCCUGGCACAAUGCGAAGGCAGCCAGGUUGGAUGGCAGAUGGUCCUCGUGGGACCUGGUACCAGACACCUUUGAGCUGGCAUCAUACCCGUUAUGCCAAAGUGCUGGCCCCUGGGGCAUCUGCACACUUCCCACCAGCUUCUGGGUAUCCAGAAGGUGGAGGGGCACCCGCCAGGCAAGACAUUUGCUGUCCUUUGUGACCUGAGCUAAGAAUGAUGGUGGCAUCCAUGUGGGUCAGCCCUCCCUUCCAGGCAGUGGCAUAACAACCCAUUGAAAAGGUAGUGCCCCAAGGGUGGCUCCUGUGGCUCAAGGAGUAGGGUGCUGGGCCCAUAUGCCGGAGGUGGCGGGUUCAAACCUAGCCCCGGCCAAAAAAGAAAAUGAACGUGCAGCUGAGAAGGUGCCAGCUGAGCCGGGCAAGGACGUGCAAAUCUGCAGGGAACAGCAGUGGGAGCCCAGAACCCUAGGGACCCUGGGGGUGAGGGCCUGCAGAUGGAAUUUGAGCAAGGUUGUAAGAAACAUCUUUUGUUCCAAUAUUUUGGUUCCAUUGGCACGUUCAGAUCUGACCACAAGGACAAGAGAUGCUUUGCCUGGGAUAGACAAUGGGUUUUGUGUCUGUUUACAGAAGGAUGUGGUAUGUGGUCUUGGAGGAGACACAGCCAGCUGGGCACAGGUGAGGGAAUAGCCCACGAGGCCAGCAGCAGUGCCAGUGGCAUCUCACUGCACCAACUGAGGGGCCCAGAGCAUCAGGUGUCACAUGGCUGCUUGAAUGUCAGCCCAAACUUCACUGUGGGGCUGGAAUUAAAGAACUAACUUUAGAUGCCAAAGAUUUUACACACCAUGCACAACCUAGAUAAGAGGCAGAUCUUGCUACUGCCUGAGACCCCAGCGCACAGCCCGGAUGGGACAAAGAUCAGACACUUCAAUAUGUAUUGAAUGUAGCAUAGUCAGGCUCACUCCAAAACUUCAUAUUAAACACACCAAGAAUCUAAACGUGUGAUGAAAAUGUGUCAAAUGGUCUAUAAAACCAGUGUAUGGUGCCCCAUGAUCGCAUUAAUGUACACAGCUAUGAUUUAAUUAAAAAAAAAAAAAAGAA